CUGGUGUCAGCCGCCGCGGUAAUACCAGCUCUCCGAGUAGUGUGGAUGUUUAUUGGGCCUAAAGCAUCCGUAGCUUGCUAGGCAAGUCCCCUGUUAAAUCCACCGAUUCAAUCGAUGGUUUGCGGGGGAUACUGUUUGGCUAGGGGACGGGAGAGGUCGACGGUAUUUCCGGGGUAGGGGUGAAAUCCUAUAAUCCCGGGAGGACCACCAGUGGCGAAGGCUGUCGACUAGAACGCGCCCGACGGUGAGGGAUGAAAGCUGGGGGAGCGAACCGGAUUAGAUACCCGGGUAGUCCCAGCUGUAAACGAUGCAGGUAGGUGGUUUGGGCGGCCACGAGCCGCCCUAGUGCCGCAGGGAAGCUGUUAAGCCUGCCGCCUGGGGAGUACGGCCGCAAGGCUGAAACUUAAAGGAAUUGGCGGGGGAGCACCACAAGGGGUGAAGCUUGCGGUUUAAUUGGAGUCAACGCCGGAAAUCUCACCGGGAGCGACAGCAGUAUGAAGGCCAGAUUAAAGGUCUUGCUAGACGAGCU
RNAcentral lists this ribosomal RNA (529 nucleotides) under uncultured archaeon. Its description in RNAcentral is "bacterial SSU rRNA". It matches the Rfam family "Archaeal small subunit ribosomal RNA", at positions 452 to 981 of the family's 1478-position model. The record is from RNAcentral.